RNAcentral lists this ribosomal RNA (440 nucleotides) under uncultured bacterium. Its description in RNAcentral is "SSU rRNA". It matches the Rfam family "Bacterial small subunit ribosomal RNA", at positions 26 to 518 of the family's 1533-position model. The record is from RNAcentral.
AGAACGAACGCUGGCGGCAGGCCUAACACAUGCAAGUCGAACGCCCCGCAAGGGGAGUGGCAGACGGGUGAGUAACACGUGGGAACCUUCCUAUUAGUAUGGAAUAGACCAGGGAAACUUGGAUUAAUACCGUAUACGCCCUAAGGGGGAAAGAUUUAUCGCUAAUAGAUGGGCCCGCGUAAGAUUAGCUAGUUGGUGAGGUAAUGGCUCACCAAGGCUACGAUCUUUAGCUGGUUUGAGAGAAUGAUCAGCCACACUGGAACUGAGACACGGUCCAGACUCCUACGGGAGGCAGCAGUGGGGAAUAUUGGACAAUGGGCGCAAGCCUGAUCCAGCCAUGCCGCGUGAGUGAUGAAGGCCUUCGGGUUGUAAAGCUCUUUAGUAGAGAAAAUAAUGAUGGUAUCUACAGAAAAGCCCGGCUAACUCGCGCCAGCAGCCGC